This 382-nucleotide ribosomal RNA is filed under the name uncultured eukaryote. Its description in RNAcentral is "partial 18S ribosomal RNA". It matches the Rfam family "Eukaryotic small subunit ribosomal RNA", at positions 592 to 976 of the family's 1831-position model. The record is from RNAcentral.
UGUAAGCGUAUACCAAAGUUGUUGCAGUUAAAACGCUCGUAGUCGGACUUUGGCAGUUCCGGAUGUGUGCACGUCGUGUGCGCACUUCGCGGGGAUUGCUUUUGUGGUCUUGCGUAGGAUGAGGCACUUUUAUUAGUGAACGUCCUCACGCAACCACUUUUUACUGUGAGAAAAUCAGAGUGCUCAAAGCAGGCACUUGCCGUGAAUGUAUUAGCAUGGAAUAAUAGAAUAGGACUUGGUUCUAUUUUGUUGGUUUGUUGGGACUGAGUAAUGAUUAAGAGGGACAGUUGGGGGCAUUUGUAUUUCGGUGCUAGAGGUGAAAUUCUUAGAUUACCGAAAGACAAACUGCUGCGAAAGCGUCUGCCAAGGAUGUUUUCAUUGA